AUAACUGUGUGAUGCAGCAACGAUAAAUGGCACACUUACUGAAAGUAUAAGUAAGUAUUUAUUGUAGAAAUUACUCACAAGAGACAAGCAAGUAACCCAGAUGAGCCAAGUAGUUUUCCACUGCCAAACUGGGAGCCGGAAAGCCAGAAAAGAGAGUGAGACUUCUGCUGUUCAGUCUUUUACACCUUCCUCCAUAAUACCCCUAGCCAUGCCCAAAAGUGGGCCUGGCUGGUGAGGUAGUUCACCGCCUACGUCCAUAUAUGUCUUUAGUCAUGCCUAAAAUGGGGGUGGUUAGCAGAGUGGUAAACCGCCCUCUUAUUAUCUCAUCUGUAUGUGCCUCUAAAAAGUCACAUGGUUACUGGCGGAGCACUGUUUCCUCCUAUACCCAUGCUAUCAACAUUCAUAUGUAUCUCUUUGAUGCUCUUCAGCCUGGAGUUCUGUUUCCUACCAUGGUCAUUCAAAACUACCAAAUUAUUGUCAUUGAUUUACAGGAUUGCAGUACUAUUUCUUUAUAUUUGGGUGAUAAAGGUAUGCUUUUUUCAGUACUUAGUCCUCAGUAAUCAAGCACUGAUACCUCCUUCAAUGGAAAAUACUUUCUCCACAUGAUGAUGAACAGCUCCACCCUGUGCAAAUGCUGAGCAAUACAUCCUAUUAGACAAAAAUUUCCUCAACCAAGGCACCAAAAUGCAUUUGCUUUAAUGUAUUAAUAACCUCAGAGAAGUCAAAACCUGUCAACAUCAUAUUAAGGAUAAUAAAUUUAAAUGCUUUCUCCUGGGGAGAUUUAAACAAGGGUGAGCCCCAAUUUGAAUUCUUUACUUCUCUCCCCAUUGUGCCUGUUGAUCUGUUGCAUGGGUCUGGGCUGUAUACCUUUGAACACAGACUUUGAAAAAUGUUUUCCUCUGACCCUGUGUGUGUUCUUUGUGUGGACCUGUGUCUGUCCCUAAGAAAUUGCUUCUCUCUCCCUUUUCUUGAACAACACAGAAAGCAUCAUAUGGGGGAAGAAAUUAGGAAUACUUCAAAGAAAUAUUUAACAGAGCUUUACAAAGGAAUAAGUCACUGACUCCAACUGACCCCAACUGAUCUAGAUAAGAAAAAAUAUUACAAGCGCCAUUGCUUGUCAACCACUGUCUUAUGCUGUAUCCAACAUUUACAGUGGAUAGUCAUUUUAUAAGACAGCUAUUGUCCUAUUUACUGUUGUCAGAAUGUGAUUAUCAUAACACAUAUCCAAACACACAUUCAUUACACUCUAUGGCAGGAGCACGGAAAAGAGCAUACCUUACACUAACAGCUGUGCAUUUAGAUCAGAUUAUACUGGAGGAUUACUUGGGACACUCAAAGCAAGAAAGGAUGGUUGUUGAAUUGAUCUCUUAAAAGCAUGUUAAACAACAAAAUAUGAGUAUAGUAGGCUAUCAGUAUUAAGUCCGAAGUGACCUCAAAGUACAUUAUUAACCCUAGUUGUGAGAAUAAACAAAAUUUUCAGUCUUUUAGAAUGUAAAAGAUAUUUUCAUUAAAAAUGUAUCACCCCUGGAGUGGACUUGGGUUAAGAGCUUGGCUGUUUUUCUCAGUGUGUUACUGCCCUGAAGCAGAAUUGUCUUAUUGAUGCCGAAAAUAUUUCCCUGAUUCUGCUUGGGUCCCAGCAGAACAGGAUGCAGAAUUGGAAGUCCAUUGGAGAAUCAAGGUAUAGGCAGCUUGGACUAGUGUAGACUCCCAAAGGUCAAGUCCUGGGAGAUACAGGAAGCCUAUACACCUAUGUCAUGUGACUGCAAUAUCCAGAAGGGAAAACCAGUUGCUCGUUGCCCAGGAGAAUGCAUCUGACAUUAAGGGAUCUGGUGAAAUUUCUUGGGACCCCCUUCCUGGCCUCCUCACAUACAAUAGUAAUGUGAAACAGUGAACAGUCACUUUAUCUCCUUUCUGGGCUACCCAGGCCCACUCUCAGCUAAUUUGAAAGAGUCAAGCCUUGCACUGGAAAUCCUGGAACCUGUCUGUGGUGUUUGGGAUACAGAGAGCUACAACAUAAAAAAGAUCUUUUAUCUUUCAUUCUUUGCUCCCCUCUCCUUCCUCCCCACCUCUGACUCUCCAUCCUUGCAUGUAUGCCUAGUUCCAAACACAAGUAUAUGGGUGUCUACAGAGAACUCAAUACUGAGAAGGAAUUGGGAACUUUGGAGAAAGGUAAGAGAAGUUUCCUGGGUCACUGGUAGGGAUGGAGGGCUGUGGAGAGGAGAGAGUUUGUGACAGAGCCAGAGGUAGUUCACAAGGGUUGCCUGGCGAUUCCUACGUGAUGUUUCGGGUGGGGGACGGGUCCCAGGACCUGGUAGGCAACAGGGCAUGUGGGACAGAAUGUUACUUCUUUUGAUGUGUCCUUGUCCCUACAACAGGGUCCUUAGCUGCCUUGCCUUUUCAGCAGAGGCUGUGGAUGAAUGCUGCCCCCUUGUGGCACCCAGUGUGAAGGGUGUGUUCCAGUGCCCAAAUGAACCCAGAUGGCUGGGUACCUGAAAGCCCUGCCCUGUGUCCAUGAGGCUUCCACUGAGGGACUACAGACCUUGGGCUACAAAGUGUCAGCUAAGAAAGCCUGGCUUUAUACAUCAGAGGCUACCAACUUGGAUGCCAGCUGAGGAGAGGCAAAAGGAACCUCAGAGCAGGAUCGCUGCCAUCUUUCAGAUGCCAACUCCAAAGACUAAGGGACAGGUUCAAGAGUUCCUAGGUGCAGCUAGGUAUUGCUGCUUCUGGAUACCAGGAUUUGUGGAAAUAGCAAGGUCUGUAUACACCAGCACAACGGGAGGUACUGAGCCACUAAUUUGGACUGAGACUAAACAAAAGGCAUUUGAGGCUUUAAAAACAACCCUGACUUCAGCUCCAGCCCUAGUACUUCCAGAUGUCUCAAAGCCUUUUCAUCUAACAUUCAUGAAACAAAAAACAUUUAAUCCAAACCUUGGAGCCAUGGAGCCAUGGAAAUGCCCUGUGAUAUACCUGUCAAAAUAAUUGGACCCUGUAGUCACAGGAUGGCCCACCUAAGAGCUGUAUAGGCUACUGCCAGUCUAAUGAAAACAAACACGUUAACUCUGAUUAAGAUCUUAUGUACUAGCACCCCACAAUGUGUUUGAGGCCCUCCUUCCAGGAACACCAGAAGGCUUACUGUCAAAGGACUAUAUUGGCCAGUACCAGGGCCUAGUCCUGGUCCACCCUAGAGUCCAGCAUAAGAAACCCACCACCAUCAAUCCUGCUGCAUUCUUGUGUAAUGAUGACCCAUAGGUGUUCAUCUAUAAAUGUCAAAAGAUGAAAGAUGAAACCAGGUAUGUGGGAGCUGCACUACUUACUGCACCUCAGCCAGGGGAGCAGGACUGAUUGAUCUGACACAGGCUCUCAGAUGAGAAAGCAAAAUCAUUCACAAGGAUAGUUGGUACGCUUUUACUACUGUGCAUGUCCAUGGUGUGAUCUAUAGAGAAAGACGGAUUCUCACCAAUGAGAGUAAGGGCAUUAAAAACAAAGGGGUGGGGUGGGGGAGGUGGGGACAGGAGAAGUAGAUGGAGGAGAACUAAGCCCAGUAUGUAAAAUGAAAAUAAAUUAAAAAUGAGAAAAUCUUGGCUCUCUUAGAGGCUAUUUGGCUUCCUCUAUGAAUUGUCCUCCUCUGUAGACCAGUAGAGCAUAUUGAUAUUCUGAUUACGUACCACAACCUGCCUGAGACUCCAUGGUAAAGAAGAAAUGAACAUUUCAAACCCAAAGGUUGAUGGAGGACACCAGACGGAAAGAUUAUUCUUCCAGAAAUAACUGUUAGGACUCUGGUAACUGACCUUCACCAAGUUACUCAUCUGGGGUCCACAAAACUUUCUGAGUUGCUCAGACCAAAGUAUGUUAUACCUAGACUAGACAUCUUAGUGUGGGAUGUCUCAGCCAGAUGCCAGGUUUGUGCUCAAGUGAAUACAAUACAGUGGGCCCUUACCCAGCAAGGGGGCCUAGUAAGAGAUCUACAUCCCAGUGAAGUGUAGGAAAACUGACUUCACCAAGAUCCUGCCUGCCAGGGGUGGAUAAAUGUGCUUACUGUUUUUAUAGAUACAUUUUCUGGGUGGGUAAAUGCAUUUACCUGGGAGGAAACUCCUCAAAUAGUAGUUUAAAAGCUCCUUCAGGAACUGGUCACCUGAUGUGGCCUUCCCUAGCAAGGGGAUUUGACAAUGGUUCCAUUUUCAUAGCCAAACCUCUCAAUUAACAGCUAAAGCUUUAGGCAUAGAUUGAAAAAUUCAUUGUGCAUAUAGACCUCAGAGUUAUGGGCAGAUAAAACUAAUAAACAAAACAUUAAAAGAAACUCUAAUAAAGCUCUCAUUAUAUUCCAGCAAAGGAUGAAUAGAUUUCCUUCCUUUGCUUUGCUUCAGGACCCACUGUACCCCAUAGAUAGGGAUUUGCUCCCUACAAGAUUACAUUUGAAUGACCUCCCCCACUGUUUCCCUAGCCCCGAAGCCACCUCCCUUCUCAAGUCACUACAGGCUCUCCAGUCUUCCAUAAUAUGUAUUUAUCAAAUUAUCUAAGAAAUCCAGGCAACAUCCAAGUCUACCACCAGUUUCCAAGUUUCCACUUGUUCAAGUCCAGUGAUAUUAUCUGGGUCAAACAGACAGCCAAAGGGAUACUGGAACCAACUUAGGAGGGACCCUACAUGGUUAUUCUUUCCACUCCUAUGCCUAUGAAGGUAGUUAUCAUUACACUGUGGAUCCACCACACCCAGGUCAAGAAAGUAGAAACUGCAGAUGCCCCUGUCAAAUGGACUGUCUCUGGGACCAUGGGCCCAUUUCAUCAGACUCCAGACUCCUACACUCCCUACCACUCUACCUCCUCCUGAGUCUUAAUGUUUUGUUUCAUGGGUAUGAGUAUAGGGUUAUGAUCCAAACCUCACCACCCUCAGGUCUGGGCCUAGGAAGAUGAAGGAGAUGAACUGAGGAAGAUGAAGACAGUGAAGGUAUUAGUUACUAGGAUUACAGACCAGCAACCAAUUUUCAUCUUGACCUUUGCUCAUUGGUGCCCACUUUAAAUGUCUGGUUAUCCUGGAGAAAGGAAAGGUGUGCAUGCCCUGUGACUGGACCCCCUACUUGCCAGAAAGUUUCCAUUGCAAAAAUUGAGGUUGCACCAUAGAGACUUUCUAAAAACAUACAAAUAAAUAUAUAGAAAUAAAGACUCCUGACAAGAAAUGCAUGAUAGAAAAUGUAAUCCAAUGACUAUGAAAUAAAAACUCUGGAAAUUCCUUUUAAAAACUAUUCUGGCCUUUGGGAAACUGAAAAUGUGGGGAAUCAGACUCUAUGCCAUGGGAAGGGAUUCUGAGGGAUAGAGUUCACCAAUCCCAGCCAGAAAUCAGUCAGGAUUACUAGUUAUGCAUAGCUAUUUGGCCCCUGUGAUAACCAGACUGUCAGCCCAUUAACUGACAAAACUCACUGUGAUUGGGGGCAGCCUAAAUUAACAUUUGAUAGUUUUCAAGGGCCUGAAAUUUGUCUAAUAUCCAAAACUUUUAACCUAGGUACUUCCCCUUCAUCUGAUACCUGCUGUUCUGCCUUAUGAGUUAAUUCAUCAGGAUAACAGCAAUAUUACUGAGCUCCUGGGAUUAUUUGAUGGCCAUAUACUAAUGGUUUGAAUAAAUAUGUCUCUUCUGAUGCUUUCCAAACUAAGUAGACUGGUUGAUCAGAUCUAGAGGUAUUAAAAGUUUCAGCUUCUGAAUUAAAACAUCAUUUAGAUUCCUUUACAGAAGUGGUUCCUCAAAAUUGAACAGGCUUAGACUUACUUCUAAUGGAAUAUAAGAAAGUAUUUAUGGCUUUUGGAAAAACCUGUUGUUUCUAGGCUAAUUGAUCAGGAGCAAAAAAAAGGAAAGAAAAAAAAGAAGUUUUGCCAUGGCCAUGGUUGGAACCAAACAAAAAUUCAACAUUGGUACAAAUCUCUGUUCUCUUGGUUCCCCUGGCUAACUACUCUGCUAUCAGCACUGGCUAGGCUUUUAAUUCUCAUUCUGAUGGAAUUAUUGGUGAUGCACUGCAUCUUAAACUAUAUGGUCAAUUAUCUAUCAGUUUGGUGAAACUGAUGGUCCUUACCCAACUACACUUCUUUAGAGAAGGAUGAAUCCACGAUUUGACCCAUUCAGUAAAACCAGUGAAGAAUAUAACAGAGUCCCAGACCUUAGCACAACUGACUCCAUGAUGGAAGUACCAUUCGGGCCAUAAAACUCAACAUGUGGGCACUAACAUUUGUCAAAACAAAAACAAAGACCAAUCCAUCAAAGUCCACAGUUCUAGGAAAGUCUCUAAAUAUGCUAACCUUGCCUUUCGGCUUCUAUGGUUCUUUUCUGGCUAACUGAAGUAUGUCAACCCAGAACAUGAUUUUCAUGCUUAGAAGCUCACCCUGAGAAAUGUUCAGGGCUACACUGGGAUCCUGAACAUCCAAUGUAGUUGGUGGCCUAAUAAAGACUUUCUAUUGUCGUAAACUCAUGUCAGAGUAGUCUUCUCUGGUCAAUAUUCCACAACAGGAAGGCCUUUCUCAAUAGGACUCAAUUUGCCCAAAAAUGAACACUGAGUAGGACUUCAUAAAAGUAUUUUAGUUUCUGGGAAGAUAAACAAAUAGCCAACCAGGUGAAGAGGAAGCCCAAAUAAAACUGGAAAAUUCUCUGCCAGUUAUUCUUUGUACAGUAGAUUAGUAUCCAGAAUGUGUAUUGAACUAAAAAAACCAGCAAAAGACCCAAAUGACACAUUUGAAAAUUGGGCCUAUGAAUUUGAAGGUGAGUGGAAAGUGUAUAUGGGAGUUUUCUAAGGAGGAAAGGAAAGGACUAAAUGUUGUAAUUAUAUUUAAUCCCCCCAAAUGGGCCUGCAAUCUGAACAGAAAGAUCUCAAAUGAUUAAAAUAGCACCUAAGAAUAACUCAAAAAUGUUCAUUGUUCCCAGUAAUUGGGAAAAGCAAAACAACUUUGAGAUUUCAUGUAUCUCAGCCCAGUUAGAAUGGCAAAGAUCAACAAAACAAUGAAGAGUGGGAGGGGGUUUUUGAGUAAAGGGAAACCUCACUCACUGUUGUUGAGAUUGCAAACUGGUGGAGCCACUUUGAAAAUCAGUGUGGAUAAGGCUCAGAAAACUAAAAACAAAUUCAUCAGAUGACCAAGCUAUACCACUCUUUCACACAAAUGCCCAAGGGCUCGACAUAAUUAUUCACUGAUACUUGCUUAGCCAUGUUCAUUGCUGCCCUAUUUACAAUGGCUAAGAAAUUGAAACAACCUAUAUGUUCUACAAGUGACAAAUGUAUAGUGAAAAUGUAGUACAUGUAUACUUAAUGAUCAUUUCAAAAUAAAGUACAACUUUUGGUUUGGUAA
This is a long non-coding RNA of Mesocricetus auratus (golden hamster), 7317 nucleotides long. RefSeq lists it as uncharacterized. The transcript has 2 exons. The record is from RefSeq and is a predicted model, not a curated record. NCBI's taxonomy places the organism in Eukaryota, Metazoa, Chordata, Mammalia, Rodentia, Cricetidae.